Polyodon spathula (Mississippi paddlefish) is the source of this 202-nucleotide long non-coding RNA. RefSeq lists it as uncharacterized. Lineage: Eukaryota; Metazoa; Chordata; Actinopteri; Acipenseriformes; Polyodontidae. The record is from RefSeq and is a predicted model, not a curated record. The transcript is spliced from 2 exons.
AAAUGGUGGUGUGAGAUGGAACCCUGCCUGGAAGGAGAAGAGUGCAAAACAUUACCUGAUAAUUCAGGAUGGAUGUGCUCUUCAGGCAACAAAAUUAAGACCACAAGGAAUACACAGCCUUAUUCGUCUUUUUAGCCUUGGACUCAAAGAUCAAAGAAGGGCUUAAAUCAUGUACAAUAGAGAUGGAGCAUCACAGGUUUCU